RNAcentral lists this ribosomal RNA (407 nucleotides) under Planctomycetales bacterium. RNAcentral describes it as "partial 23S ribosomal RNA". It matches the Rfam family "Bacterial large subunit ribosomal RNA", at positions 2519 to 2925 of the family's 2925-position model. The record is from RNAcentral. Lineage: Bacteria; Pseudomonadati; Planctomycetota; Planctomycetia; Planctomycetales.
UGGCACCUCGAUGUCGGCUCAUCACAUCCUGGGGGUGAAGAAGCUCCCAAGGGUUUGGCUGUUCGCCAAUGAAAGUGGUACGUGAGCUGGGUUCAGACCGUCGUGAGACAGGUCGGUCCCUAUCUGCUGUGGGCGUACGAAACCUGAGGAGGUUUUUCCCUAGUACGAGAGGAUUUGGAAGGACGUUCCUCUGGUGUACCAGUUGUCGCGCUAGCGGCACGGCUGGAUAGCUAUGAACGGAAAGGAUAAACGCUGAAGGCAUAUAAGCGUGAAGCUCUCUCCAAGAUUAGGUUUCGUAGAGCUAUUAGCUCGAGAGUCCCCUGGAAGACGACCAGGUUGAUAGGCCGGAUGUGUAAGUGCAGUAAUGUAUUCAGCUUACCGGUACUAACGGACGAAUGCUUGACCGC